UGAGACACGGACCAGACUCCUAGGGGGGCCAGCGGUGAGGAAUAUUGGUCAAUGGGGGGGAUCUUGACCCAGCCAAUUCGCGUGAAGGAAGACUCCCUUAUGGGUUGUAAAAUUUUUUUAUCCAGGAAUAAAAAGGUUUACGUGUAGGCCAUUGCAGGUUCUGUAUGAAUAAGCAUCGGCUAACUCCGUGCCAGCAGCCGCGGUAA
RNAcentral lists this ribosomal RNA (206 nucleotides) under uncultured bacterium. RNAcentral describes it as "partial 16S ribosomal RNA". It matches the Rfam family "Bacterial small subunit ribosomal RNA", at positions 320 to 523 of the family's 1533-position model. The record is from RNAcentral.